GAUGAACGCUGGCGGCGUGCUUAACACAUGCAAGUCGAACGGAAAGGCUCCUGCUUGCAGGGGUACUCGAGUGGCGAACGGGUGAGUAACACGUGGGCGAUCUGCCCUGCACUUCGGGAUAAGCCUGGGAAACUGGGUCUAAUACCGGAUAGGACGACGGCUUGGAUGCCAUUGUGGAAAGUUUUUCGGUGUGGGAUGAGCUCGCGGCCUAUCAGCUUGUUGGUGGGGUAAUGGCCUACCAAGGCGUCGACGGGAAGCCGGCCUGAGAGGGUGUACGGCAACAUUGGGACUGAGAUACGGCCCGGACUCCUACGGGAGGCAGCAGGGGGGAAUAUUGCACAAUGGGGGCAAGCCUGAUGCAGCGACGCCGCGUGGGGGAUGACGGCCUUCGGGUGGUAAACUCCUUUCGCUAGGAACGAAGCGCAAGUGACGGUACCUGGAGAAGAAGCACCGGCUAACUACGUG
RNAcentral lists this ribosomal RNA (465 nucleotides) under uncultured bacterium. Its description in RNAcentral is "partial 16S ribosomal RNA". It matches the Rfam family "Bacterial small subunit ribosomal RNA", at positions 28 to 507 of the family's 1533-position model. The record is from RNAcentral.